CCUACGGGAGGCAGCAGUGAGGAAUAUUGGUCAAUGGCCGGAAGGCUGAACCAGCCAUGCCGCGUGAAGGUCAGUGCCCUAUGGGCGUUAAACUUCUUUUGUGCGGGAGCAAUAAUGGUCACGUGUGGCCAGACGAGAGUACCGUACGAAUAAGCAUCGGCUAACUCCGUGCCAGCAGCCGCGGUAAUACGGGGGAUGCAAGCGUUAUCCGGAUUUAUUGGGGUUAAAGGGUGCGUAGGCGGUGAGGUAAGUCAGCGGUGAAAUGCCCCCGCUCAACGGGGUGAAGUGCCAUUGAUACUGCCUUGCUGGAAUGCGGAUGCCGUGGGAGGAAUGUGUGGUGUAGCGGUGAAAUGCAUAGAUAUCACACAGAACACCGAUUGCGAAGGCAUCUCACGAAUCCGCGAUUGACGCUGAUGCACGAAAGCGUGGGUAUCAAACAGGAUUAGAUACCCCUGUAGUC
Molecule: ribosomal RNA, 460 nt
Filed under: uncultured bacterium
Lineage: Bacteria
Description: partial 16S ribosomal RNA
Rfam family: Bacterial small subunit ribosomal RNA
Source: RNAcentral